RNAcentral lists this ribosomal RNA (432 nucleotides) under uncultured bacterium. Its description in RNAcentral is "partial 16S ribosomal RNA". It matches the Rfam family "Bacterial small subunit ribosomal RNA", at positions 29 to 507 of the family's 1533-position model. The record is from RNAcentral.
AACGAACGCUGGCGGCAGGCCUAACACAUGCAAGUCGAGCGCGCCCUUCGGGGUGAGCGGCGGACGGGUGAGUAACGCGUGGGAACGUGCCCUUUUCUACGGAAUAGCCUCGGGAAACUGAGAGUAAUACCGUAUACGCCCUUUGGGGGAAAGAUUUAUCGGAAAAGGAUCGGCCCGCGUUGGAUUAGGUAGUUGGUGGGGUAAUGCCUACCAAGCCGACGAUCCAUAGCUGGUUUGAGAGGAUGAUCAGCCACACUGGGACUGAGACACGGCCCAGACUCCUACGGGAGGCAGCAGUGGGGAAUCUUAGACAAUGGGGGCAACCCUGAUCUAGCCAUGCCGCGUGAGUGAUGAAGGCCUUAGGGUUGUAAAGCUCUUUCAGCUGGGAAGAUAAUGACGGUACCAGCAGAAGAAGCCCCGGCUAACUCCGUG